GCGGAUGUGGCGGAAUGGCAGACGCGCGGCGUUCAGGUCGCCGUGUCCUUAUGGGCGUGGAGGUUCGAAUCCUCUCAUCCGCA
This 83-nucleotide transfer RNA is filed under the name Thermoleophilaceae bacterium. RNAcentral's name for it is "tRNA-Leu". It matches the Rfam family "tRNA". Rfam says of the family: Transfer RNA (tRNA) molecules are approximately 80 nucleotides in length. Their secondary structure includes four short double-helical elements and three loops (D, anti-codon, and T loops). The record is from RNAcentral. Lineage: Bacteria; Bacillati; Actinomycetota; Thermoleophilia; Thermoleophilales; Thermoleophilaceae.